CACGUAGGGGGCAAGCGUUGUCCGGAUUUAUUGGGCGUAAAGAGCUCGUAGGUGGCUGAGUAAGUCGGAUGUCAAAUCCCCAGGCUCAACCUGGGACACCACCCGAUACUGCUCUAGCUAGAGUCCGGUAGGGGAGCAUGGAAUUCCUGGUGUAGCGGUGAAAUGCGCAGAUAUCAGGAGGAACACCAGCGGCGAAGGCGGUGCUCUGGGCCGGAACUGACACUGAGGAGCGAAAGCGUGGGUAGCAAACAGG
Molecule: ribosomal RNA, 253 nt
Filed under: uncultured bacterium
Lineage: Bacteria
Description: partial 16S ribosomal RNA
Rfam family: Bacterial small subunit ribosomal RNA
Source: RNAcentral